Molecule: ribosomal RNA, 591 nt
Filed under: uncultured bacterium
Lineage: Bacteria
Description: bacterial SSU rRNA
Rfam family: Bacterial small subunit ribosomal RNA
Source: RNAcentral
CACAAGGGGACUGAGACACGGCCCUUACUCCUACGGGAGGCAGCAGUGGGGAAUAUUGGACAAUGGACCGGGAGUCUGAUCCAGCAAUUCUGUGUGCACGAUGAAGUUUUUCGGAAUGUAAAGUGCUUUCAGUUGGGAAGAAAUAAAUGACGGUACCAACAGAAGAAGUGACGGCUAAAUACGUGCCAGCAGCCGCGGUAAUACGUAUGUCACGAGCGUUAUCCGGAUUUAUUGGGCGUAAAGCGCGUCUAGGUGGUUAUAUAAGUCUGAUGUGAAAAUGCAGGGCUCAACUCUGUAUUGCGUUGGAAACUGUAUAACUAGAGUACUGGAGAGGUAAGCGGAACUACAAGUGUAGAGGUGAAAUUCGUAGAUAUUUGUAGGAAUGCCGAUGGGGAAGCCAGCUUACUGGACAGAUACUGACGCUGAAGCGCGAAAGCGUGGGUAGCAAACAGGAUUAGAUACCCUGGUAGUCCACGCUGUAAACGAUGAUUACUAGGUGUUGGGGGUCGAACCUCAGCGCCCAAGCAAACGCGAUAAGUAAUCCGCCUGGGGAGUACGUACGCAAGUAUGAAACUCAAAGGAAUUGACGGG